Molecule: ribosomal RNA, 329 nt
Filed under: uncultured bacterium
Lineage: Bacteria
Description: bacterial SSU rRNA
Rfam family: Bacterial small subunit ribosomal RNA
Source: RNAcentral
UGUGUAGGCGGUUGCUUAAGUUUGGUGUGAAAUCUCCCGGCUCAACUGGGAGGGUGCGCCGAAUACUGAGUGACUCGAGUGCGGGAGAGGAGAGUGGAAUUCCUGGUGUAGCGGUGAAAUGCGUAGAUAUCAGGAGGAACACCGGUGGUGUAGACGGCUCUCUGGACCGUAACUGACGCUGAGACACGAAAGCGUGGGUAGCAAACAGGAUUAGAUACCCUGGUAGUCCACGCCCUAAACGAUGCAUAUUUGGUGUGGGCAGUUCAGUCUGUCCGUGCCGGAGCUAACGCGUUAAAUAUGCCGCCUGGGAGUACAGUCGCAAGGCUGAA